RNAcentral lists this transfer RNA (74 nucleotides) under Podarcis lilfordi (Lilford's wall lizard). RNAcentral describes it as "tRNA.Ile". The stretch from base 8 to 66 matches the Rfam family "tRNA", at positions 8 to 63 of the family's 71-position model. From Rfam's summary of the family: Transfer RNA (tRNA) molecules are approximately 80 nucleotides in length. Their secondary structure includes four short double-helical elements and three loops (D, anti-codon, and T loops). Further hydrogen bonds mediate the characteristic L-shaped molecular structure. tRNAs have two regions of fundamental functional importance: the anti-codon, which is responsible for specific mRNA codon recognition, and the 3' end, to which the tRNAs corresponding amino acid is attached (by aminoacyl-tRNA synthetases). tRNAs cope with the degeneracy of the genetic code in two manners: having more than one tRNA (with a specific anti-codon) for a particular amino acid; and 'wobble' base-pairing, i.e. permitting non-standard base-pairing at the 3rd anti-codon position. The record is from RNAcentral. Lineage: Eukaryota; Metazoa; Chordata; Lepidosauria; Squamata; Lacertidae.
GCCUGGAUAGCUCAGUUGGUUAAAGCAUGGUACUGAUAAUGCCGAGGUUGCAGGUUUGAUCCCUGUAUGGGACA